This is a non-coding RNA of Trichonephila clavipes, 64 nucleotides long. The record is from the annotation of a GenBank genome assembly. NCBI's taxonomy places the organism in Eukaryota, Metazoa, Arthropoda, Arachnida, Araneae, Nephilidae.
GAUCAGCUCAGUGAUAGAAAGUUCGACUGCCGAUCGAGAGGUCCCCGGUUCAAACCCGGGUGCC